This 2405-nucleotide long non-coding RNA is filed under the name Homo sapiens (human). RNAcentral describes it as "non-protein coding lnc-FGF9-3:6". Lineage: Eukaryota; Metazoa; Chordata; Mammalia; Primates; Hominidae. The record is from RNAcentral.
GGAAGUGACUGGAUGUGGAGAGGAGUGUAUCCGCGAAGGAACGCACAAGUGGCCUGACCUGCAGAAGAACGCUAGCUAGGCACUAGGCAUGCCGGCAAGGUCAGCUGAGAGCUGACCCCAGUGCAACGUGGAGGAGUUUGGUUGGGGCAGUCGGAGGAGCACCUGGGCCGCCAAGCGGCCAGACUUCGGGGGAAAGCCAUCUCUCUUCUGGCGCCUUUAUCGGCAGAGAGCUACUUGUACUCAAAACCUUGCACUCAUUCUCCAAGCCCACGUGGGUAAGAUUCACCCACACUGCGGAGGGCGUCGGAGCUCCACAGCCUGCCUGUCUGUAUGCUCCCAUAGAGGUUUGAGCAGCGGGGCACUGGAGAAGCAAGUCACACCCCCAUUGCACGCCAUGGGAGUAGGACAAGGAUUCAACAGAGUUGGAUUGCUGAGAAUAAAAUUACGGAUUUCUCCAUAAUGGACACACGCACUUUUUGUUUGUGCUGUUUCCUUUAGAAUGGACGAUGAGUCAAAAUUGUUCGUUUAUGCUUCUUCACAGAAGGAUCUUCUGUGUCGUAGGAGGUGGCCUGCAGCAAUCUGGACAUUCAGUGGUCCUCCUGUGAUUAAUAGGUGAACGGAUGAGCUAUUCUGAUAAGAACUGGGGAACUUUUGCCAUUCAAAAGCAAAUAGAAGAACUGGGAGAUUCCUCAACUUAGCUUUUCUUUUUUUUGGUUCUAAAGUGACUGCGAAUGGAGGUAGAAGAGAAGAAAAGCUUUCAAAAACAUCUUCCAUUAAGAAAAAUAUGUAUCUUCAUGAAGACCUAUCUGAGUAAAAUUACUAAAACAUAAUGGCUUUCUUGAAAUAGAAUGGAAUGAAAGGCAUAUUAGGGAGUAUGAAAGUAUGAAGAUUUUAUUAACAUACUUCUAGAAGUUUAUUAAAUAUCUGCACAGGAACUGUAAUUUGAGAUCAGUGGUGGAAAGAGAAUAAAGGAAUCACGUGGACAUCAGCUCUGAGGCCUGUGGCCCCACUUGCUUCUGGGCUUUCUAUAGACAUUUGCUGGUGACCUGCCCAGGCAGGCUAGAGUACCCUUCCUCAUUGCACCCUGUGUUCCCAUCCUCUUUUCCUUCCUUCCUUCCUUCCUUCCUUCCUUCCUUCCUUUCUUCCUCCAUCCCUUAUGAAACCCUCGUUGUGCAGUUACUUAUUAGGUGCUGUGUGAGCGUCUGAAGUCUCCCCUCACCCACUUUUCCAUUUGGGCCACUUGGCCAGUGAUUGCAUCAGUACCAGGGUUCUAGGAGCCAUGCAGGGAUCCCCAGUGGGCAGAGCUGGCCGUAGCAUUUGGAAAGGAAGAGAGAGAACUGGAGACAAUGCCUAGGAACAAAAGCAGAGUCCAGACCCAGGCAUCAAGUGCAAAUCCAAAGGCUCUGGAUGAGUCAGUUCCCAGCAAAGGGACACAAGUAGGCACAGAAGGAAGGACAGCAGAAAACACUGGUCCAGAGAGGGCCUGCAGAGCCAGAAGCGAUGACGCAUCCAAGGUUGUGUUUGACUUCUGCACUGCCUCUGCAACCUGUAAGCACAUCUGAGCCAGUUCAGAAAGUAGGAAAACCAAAGUAUAUCAGAAAUGGCCUCUUAUCAUCAAGGAGAUUUUGGUCUAGAUUGCUUAUUGCUCAGGAGAAAUCACCACUUUUUAAAAAGAUAUGCUGAGAUAGGGUUUAGUUGGGAUAGAAAAGGUUAUUAAACUACGGGACACCCUUCCUUUACAGAGUGUAAGCACUACUACCCCUUUUGUUUGUCUGUUUUUCUUAUUUUUCUCACAGAUGCAGUUCCUGCAUUAGUAUUGAUAAAUGUGUGGCUGCUCCACUUGGAGUGUUUUCAAAGCAUAAAUCACAGCAUUGAUGGUGCUGUGGUUUGGCUCUUCCAGCCCUCUUAACAACGGUCUGAUGGACUUGGCGAGAGUCUAGCCACGUGUUCUGGCCUCUGUCACUCUCAUGGCUGAAACGCAUGCACACCCACAGAUGGGGGCCCCGUGGUAGAGAUGUGCCUCUACUUGUCAAAUAGACUGACUCCAAAUUCGGAAAUAUGCCUCAGGAAUCUAGAAAGAUAGAAAAGGAGUCUUCGUCACUGUAGGGUCUCAUUCACAAUAUGGAGGAGAGAUGGAGGGGAGUUUUUGGUAUAAAUUUUGCCUCAUAAAAAUUCUCCACGUUGUUUUGUACUGUAUGAGGGUAGCGAGAAAUUAGUUGAUGGUUAACAAUCAAGCUGGAGAAGAAUAUCCUCAAUUUUUCACAUGGAAAAUGAAAAACUACAACUCCUUCCAAAUAUAUGUAUGUUUCUUUUCUGACGUGUGUGUGUUUGUGUGUAUCAUAUAACAUUUAUUUUUUGAUUUCUUUGUUAUCAACAGUAAAAAUACAGAAAAUGAUGCCAAAGAG